Molecule: long non-coding RNA, 222 nt
Filed under: Elaeis guineensis (African oil palm)
Lineage: Eukaryota; Viridiplantae; Streptophyta; Magnoliopsida; Arecales; Arecaceae
Description: long non-coding RNA (EGUI_LNC050073)
Source: RNAcentral
GUUCGGUGCAGAUCGUUCAUAGUAGAAGUUCGGUGCAGACCACUCGUAAUAGAAGUUCAGCUCUCACAGGAGUCUGAUUAGAAUCCUGAAGGUGGUCGACCACCGUAGAAACUCGGAUGGAGUCUGAUUACUAUAGAAACCUCAUUGUUGAAGAAGCUCGAAUAUUGACGAAGUCCGAAAGGAGUUCGGAGAAUAGUUGAUCACCGUAGAAUGUCGGCUGAC